CUACGGGACGCUCCAGUGAGGAAUAUUGCACAAUGGGGGGAACCCUGAUGCAGCAACGCCGCGUGGAGGAUGACGCAUUUCGGUGUGUAAACUCCUUUUAUAUGUCAAGAAAAUGACGGUAGCAUAUGAAUAAGCACCGGCUAACUCCGUGCCAGCAGCCGCGGUAAUACGGAGGGUGCAAGCGUUACUCGGAAUCACUGGGCGUAAAGGACGCGUAGGCGGGUUGGAAAGUCAGGUGUGAAAUCCUACAGCUUAACUGUAGAACCGCACUUGAAACUUCUAAUCUAGAGUAUGGGAGGGGGAGAUGGAAUUAGUGGUGUAGGGGUAAAAUCCGUAGAUAUCACUAGGAAUACCUAAAGCGAAGGCGAUCUCCUGGAACAUUACUGACGCUAAGGCGUGAAAGCGUGGGGAGCAAACAGGAUUAGAUACCCCCGUAGUC
Molecule: ribosomal RNA, 439 nt
Filed under: uncultured bacterium
Lineage: Bacteria
Description: partial 16S ribosomal RNA
Rfam family: Bacterial small subunit ribosomal RNA
Source: RNAcentral